ACGCACGCUGGCGGCGUGCUUCACCCCUGCAAGUCGCACGGGAAGGCCCUGCUUUUGUGGGGUGCUCGAGUGGCGAACGGGUGAGUAACACGUGAGUAACCUGCCCUUGACUUUGGGAUAACUUCAGGAAACUGGGGCUAAUACCGGAUAGGAGCUCCUGCUGCAUGGUGGGGGUUGGAAAGUUUCGGCGGUUGGGGAUGGACUCGCGGCUUAUCAGCUUGUUGGUGGGGUAGUGGCUUACCAAGGCUUUGACGGGUAGCCGGCCUGAGAGGGUGACCGGCCACAUUGGGACUGAGAUACGGCCCAGACUCCUACGGGAGGCAGCAGUGGGGAAUAUUGCACAAUGGGCGGAAGCCUGAUGCAGCAACGCCGCGUGCGGGAUGACGGCCUUCGGGUUGUAAACCGCUUUCGCCUGUGACGAAGCGUGAGUGACGGUAAUGGGUAAAGAAGCACCGGCUAACUACGUG
RNAcentral lists this ribosomal RNA (467 nucleotides) under uncultured bacterium. Its description in RNAcentral is "partial 16S ribosomal RNA". It matches the Rfam family "Bacterial small subunit ribosomal RNA", at positions 29 to 507 of the family's 1533-position model. The record is from RNAcentral.